RNAcentral lists this ribosomal RNA (468 nucleotides) under uncultured bacterium. RNAcentral's name for it is "partial 16S ribosomal RNA". It matches the Rfam family "Bacterial small subunit ribosomal RNA", at positions 28 to 507 of the family's 1533-position model. The record is from RNAcentral.
GACGAACGCUGGCGGCGUGCUUAACACAUGCAAGUCGAACGGAAAGGCCCUGCUUUUGUGGGGUGCUCGAGUGGCGAACGGGUGAGUAACACGUGAGUAACCUGCCCUUGACUUUGGGAUAACUUCAGGAAACUGGGGCUAAUACCGGAUAGGAGCUCCUGCUGCAUGGUGGGGGUUGGAAAGUUUCGGCGGUUGGGGAUGGACUCGCGGCUUAUCAGCUUGUUGGUGGGGUAGUGGCUUACCAAGGCUUUGACGGGUAGCCGGCCUGAGAGGGUGACCGGGCAAAUUGGGACUGAGAUACCGCCCAGACCCCUACGGGGAGCAAGAGGGGGGAAAAAUGCAAAAUGGGCGGAAGCCCUGUGCAGGCAACCCGCGGGGGGGAUGGAGGCCUUCGGGUUGUAAACCGCUUUCGCCUGUGACGAAGCGUGAGUGACGGUAAUGGGUAAAGAAGCACCGGCUAACUACGUG